UUUAAUUUGGAUAAUCUGGACAACUAGAUUUGAUGGGCAGGAAUACCAUUAUCCAUGUCUGGCUUCACUAUGCACAAAAACCUGACUUGUUUACGAAGAAAAGGGUGCCAUAAGAACUGGGAGCACUGCUGUCUUGAGGGGCUCUGUCUCCCUCUGCUCUUAUAGCCAAGCACCUGCAGGUCCAGUGACCACCUACUUAGCUCUACCAAGGUUCUAUAUAGGGAACCUCCCAAGGGCACGGAGUACAUACCUGUCACAGAGUCACACUAUGACUUCAAGGGGGACGUGGAAAUUAGGCAGCCCUGACUUCCAGAUAGCUCUUCCAUUACCACAGCAUCUGAAUCUUCUGAAACCAAAUGUUGUGAAAUAUUUCCAGCCAUGUGGAAGCUGCAGAAUCACAGCUCAUACUUCGGGGGCCACGAUCAGCAACUCGGGUGGACUUCAGAGCCAGCAACAGCUCUUGGCUGUGCAGGGGUGGAAGAGCCUGCCAAGUUGUGUCUGUAUUGCAUGACCCAGUGUUUGCAUGCUUUAUGCAACAACAGUUACAGGCCCACCAAGCCCCUUCAGUAAAACCAUAUUUGUUUGAAUUAGCAUGCUUUGUAAAAAUAUCUCUUUAUCUCCUAAAGUCAACUUUGAGAGAGCUCACAGGUUAGGAUUAUAAUGUGCUGUUCUCUAGUCUCCAAGUUUCUCUGUUUUGGUCUGCUGUUAAUACGCUCAGAUAUGAACAUAAAACAUUACAUUCUUCUCUGAACAAUUCAAGAAGCACGAUCAAGGUCACAGAAAUCACUCCAGGAGGUCUGAGCUCAACAUCUGCCAAAGCAUUAGAGAAAACGUGUUUUUUCCAGGAAACACAACAGAAGAAUUCAGGUCAGAUUACUGAACUGGAAAUCAAAGGCCACAAUGAUUCCUGAGACUUAUUGAAAUGCGAUAAAAACAAGAACAAAUACAUUAACCUUCAAACUAGGAUACACUGUGAAUAAAUCCAUUGCUGGCUAGAGAGGUUGCUGCA
This 1009-nucleotide long non-coding RNA is filed under the name Coturnix japonica (Japanese quail). RNAcentral's name for it is "lncRNA (ENSCJPG00005013406.1)". The record is from RNAcentral. Lineage: Eukaryota; Metazoa; Chordata; Aves; Galliformes; Phasianidae.